CCUGCCCUAGGCGCAUCGCAGGCGUGGCUGCUGUGUCACAUGUGCACCAAGAGGUAGCAGAGAGGAGAGAGGCUAUGUCCACACUCAGUGUUCUGACCUGUGAGCAUCUGAAUGAUCAGUAACCUGACACU
Rattus rattus (black rat) is the source of this 131-nucleotide small nucleolar RNA. RefSeq annotates it as small nucleolar RNA SNORA17. Lineage: Eukaryota; Metazoa; Chordata; Mammalia; Rodentia; Muridae. The transcript has a single exon. The record is from RefSeq and is a predicted model, not a curated record.